RNAcentral lists this long non-coding RNA (2915 nucleotides) under Lynx pardinus (Iberian lynx). Lineage: Eukaryota; Metazoa; Chordata; Mammalia; Carnivora; Felidae. The record is from RNAcentral.
ACACAGGGCUCACCUCCAGCUUUGAGUCAGCUGCCUACCCAGGCUGGUUCCUCUGCACUGUGCCGGAAGCAGACCAGCCUCUCAGACUCACCCAACUCUCAGAGGAUGCCAGCUGGGACAGCCCCAUCACGGACUUCUACUUCCAGCAGUGUGACUAGGGCAAUGUGCCCCCGGAACUCCCUGGGCAGAGCCAGCUCAGGCAGGGGUGAAGGUGGAAGAGGACACUGAUGGCAGCCACCCCCUCUGCUCUCAGGGACCCCACCUCUGGCUGCGCAUUUGGCCACUCUCCCUUUUGGUUCCCAGUUUGGGUGAAUUCUUUUGCGAUUCGGGGCUUAGGCCACAGUUUCUUUCCCUGUUGGGUGCUGCUGCUCUCGUGGCACCUUGCAAAAACCAUAUGAGAUGAACUGGGAGUCACAUAAAAAGGUUCCUUACGGGUCAGGGUGCAGGGAGUGGUAGAAAUCCUUCAUGCUUUAUGGUAACUCAGCCAGUACCCCUGAGCCCACAGGGCAGCCCAUCCCAGUUGAGCCUAUUAGGGCCACUAGCUGCCCACAUGAGGUCCUUUCGUGCACCACUGUGCAGGAGAGGGAGGUCAUAGAGUUAGGGGCACAAGGCCCAGCCCCUUCCCUCUUCCCUUUAACUCAGCUGACAUUGUAUGCUAUUUUUUUCCAUCCUAUCCUUGUGCUCUAGCCAUGGCAGGAGAGGGUGGUGGUGUGUGAGGAAGUGGCUCCAGCUCAGAAGACUGAAGAAUGGCCAGGCAGGCAUGUCAUACAUUCUGAGACCCGAGAUACCAUUAAAAUCCAAGAUGCUGGUGUCCACUCACAUGGAAAGAUUCUUACGACGUAUUAAGUAAGGAGAGCAAAUUACAAAGUCGCAUAUCCUAUAAUUUCAUUUUAAUUAAAAAAAAUGCCUAUCUAUAUAUUUCUGCAUAGAAAAAAGUCUGUAAGAGUUUCCUUCGAUUUUAGCAAUGUCGGAGUGGUGGUAUCACAGUUGAUUCUUCUUUUUGUUCUUUUAUUUAUUUGCAUUUUUCUAAUUGUUAUACAAUGAAGAUGGAUUCCUUGUGUAAUAAGUAAGUUAACCUUGAGGAAAACAGAGCAGACAGUAUUUCUGAUGGUCCUCCGCAUCCACUUCCUUGAGUAAAAUUCAUGUUGAAUUAAGAUCUGCUGCUCUGAGCAGCAGUAGUGAGAAUGAGAAAACAGACCUCAACAGAGCUGCCAAGAAAAAGCAUAUGAUGGGUUAGUUAGUGUGGUUGGAAUCUCCCGGAGAAGGAAUUUACAGAAAGAACCAUCCUGGACCUGGAGUGGUCACAACUCCCUGAGAUUUCAGAGUGUGGGUUUCAGCCUCCAAAGGGACCUGUGCUGGUUGAAUAGUGUUCCCCCCGGAUUCGUGUCCUUCUGGGAACCUUAGACCAUGACCUUAUUUGGAAAUGGGUUCUUCGCAGAUGCAAUUAGUCAAGAGGUCAUGUUGUAUUGGGGGAGGGGGGCGGCACGCUCUAAAUCCAACACGGCUGGUAUCCUUGCAAGAAGAGGAAAGGACAAACAGAGACCCAGAGGAGACCCAGGAAGAAGGCCAUGUGAAGAUGGAGCCUGAGAUUGCCCUCAUGCAGCAGUAAGGCAAGAAAUGCCAUGACUGAGGCAAUCACCAGAAGUGAGGAAGAGGCAAAGAAGAAUUCUUUCCAAACCCUUCAGAAGGAGUAUGGCUCUCUAGUCUCCUGAACUGUGAGAGAACAAAUUUUUGUUGCUUUAAACCACCAACUUUGUGGGGAUUGGUUGUGGCAGCCCUAUGAAUUAACACAGCUGCCGAUGACCCCAUCUCACAGUGUGUGUGUCCCCUCCCACAUUGUACCCACGUUGUCUCUGUGACCAACAGAACAUGGCAGGAAUAAUACUAUGCCAUUUCUGAGAUUUGGUUAUAAAAGACUGUAGGUUUUAUCUUGUUUUCUCUGUUUCUUUGUUCACUUGCUCUGGGGGGAAGUUAGCUGCCAUGGCAUAAGCAGCUCUGUAGAGAAACCCAUGUGUUGAAAAAUGAAGCCUCUUACCAACUGCCACAUGAGUGCAUUUGGAAGCAGCUCCCCCAGCCCCAGUCAGGCCUUCAGAUGAGGCGACCCUGGGGACAGCUUGACUGCCACCUCAGGAGAGACUCUGAAGCAGAACCACCUGGCUAAGCUGGUCUAGAUUCCCAAACCCCCAGAAACUGUGCUAGAAAAUACGUGUUUGUUGCUUUCAGUUGCUAAGUUUCAGGGUCACUAGUUACACAGCAAUAGAUAACUAAUACACAGGAAAGAGAAAUAAACACAUUUCUUUUAUUAUGAUUGUAAUUUUCUCCAGUAUUUUCAUUUUCCUUCUCAAAAUCAACACCGGCCCUUUAAUUUCCCCAACAUUCUACGUAAAAACUGAUCAUGCUAAAUAUGCUGAAUAGUCUCUGUUCCUGCAAGGUUUAGCUCCUCCUUGAUUACCUUCACACCUCUAGUUCUACAUGCCAGGGACUCUGACUCCAGCGUCCCUACCUAAACUCUGGGAGAUGAAAACAGAAGCCAGAGGAGAGGCUCAAAUCUGAGUCCCAGGGAUUCUGCCUGCACCUCACCAGUCAGACCAGCCUGGCAGGUUCAGACUCUGCUGAGGCACUAGUAAGGAGGUGGCCAGGCCGGAAGCCUCUGUCUCCGUGGAGCGGCUGAGACCCCGAUGUAGCUGAAGGUCUCGGGUAGCAGACAGCACAAGUGCCUCCAGAGACCUCUCAGGAGGGCCGAGAACACGGGCUCUGGGCACCAGGCUUGCUUCUGCAGACCUAGUUCACACUCUGUCUUUGCUCACAGGCCCAGCCAUACUCUCACCUUGUCUCCUCCUCCGAGAAGCCUUUGCUGAAUUGAGGCAUCUGGUCAUCUGCUCUGACUGUGCUACAUUGCUAUGUUAACUUCCCCU